GACGAACGCUGGCGGCGUGCUUAACACAUGCAAGUCGAACGGAAAGGCCCUGCUUUUGUGGGGUGCUCGAGUGGCGAACGGGUGAGUAACACGUGAGUAACCUGCCCUUGACUUUGGGAUAACUUCAGGAAACUGGGGCUAAUACCGGAUAGGAGCUCCUGCUGCAUGGUGGGGGUUGGAAAGUUUCGGCGGUUGGGGAUGGACUCGCGGCUUAUCAGCUUGUUGGUGGGGUAGUGGCUUACCAAGGCUUUGACGGGUAGCCGGCCUGAGAGGGUGACCGGCAACAUUGGGACUGGGAUACGGCCCAGACUCCUACGGGAGGCAGCAGUGGGGAAUAUUGCACAAGGGGCGGAGGCCUGAUGCAGCAACGCCGCGUGGGGGAGGACGGCCUUCGGGUUGUAAACCGCUUUCGCCUGUGACGAAGCGUGAGUGACGGUAAUGGGUAAAGAAGCACCGGCUAACUACGU
This 467-nucleotide ribosomal RNA is filed under the name uncultured bacterium. RNAcentral describes it as "partial 16S ribosomal RNA". It matches the Rfam family "Bacterial small subunit ribosomal RNA", at positions 28 to 506 of the family's 1533-position model. The record is from RNAcentral.